GAGGGUAUAGCUCAAAUGGUAGAGCACAUGCUUAGCAUGCAUGAGGUACCAGGUUCAAUCCCCAGUACCUCCU
Molecule: transfer RNA, 73 nt
Filed under: Camelus bactrianus (Bactrian camel)
Lineage: Eukaryota; Metazoa; Chordata; Mammalia; Artiodactyla; Camelidae
Also listed under: 2 other names
Rfam family: tRNA
About the family: Transfer RNA (tRNA) molecules are approximately 80 nucleotides in length. Their secondary structure includes four short double-helical elements and three loops (D, anti-codon, and T loops).
Source: Rfam by way of RNAcentral